GCCCCGGUAGCUCAGCUGGAUAGAGCAACGGCCUUCUAAGCCGUGGGUCGUGGGUUCGAAUCCCGCUCGGGGCACCA
RNAcentral lists this transfer RNA (77 nucleotides) under Kiritimatiellia bacterium. RNAcentral describes it as "Kiritimatiellae bacterium (gut metagenome) tRNA-Arg". It matches the Rfam family "tRNA". Rfam says of the family: Transfer RNA (tRNA) molecules are approximately 80 nucleotides in length. Their secondary structure includes four short double-helical elements and three loops (D, anti-codon, and T loops). The record is from RNAcentral. Lineage: Bacteria; Pseudomonadati; Kiritimatiellota; Kiritimatiellia.